RNAcentral lists this ribosomal RNA (439 nucleotides) under uncultured bacterium. Its description in RNAcentral is "partial 16S ribosomal RNA". It matches the Rfam family "Bacterial small subunit ribosomal RNA", at positions 339 to 795 of the family's 1533-position model. The record is from RNAcentral.
CUACGGGGUGCUGCAGUGGGGAAUAUUGCACAAUGGGGGGAACCCUGAUGCAGCAACGCCGCGUGGAGGAUGACACAUUUCGGUGCGUAAACUCCUUUUAUAUAAGAAGAUAAUGACGGUAUUAUAUGAAUAAGCACCGGCUAACUCCGUGCCAGCAGCCGCGUUAAUACGGGGGGUGCAAGCGUUACUCGGAAUCACUGGGCGUAAAGAGCAUGUAGGCGGGUAGAAAAGUUGGAAGUGAAAUCCUAUGGCUUAACCAUAGAACUGCUUCCAAAACUCUUUACCUAGAAUAUGGGAGAGGUAGAUGGAAUUUCUGGUGUAGGGGUAAAAUCCGUAGAGAUCAGAAGGAAUACCGAUUGCGAAGGCGAUCUACUGGAACAUUAUUGACGCUCAGAUGCGAAAGCGUGGGGAGCAAACAGGAUUAGAUACCCCGGUAGUC